GGCAGGGUACAGCUCAGUGGUAGAGCACGUGCCUAACAUGCACAAGGGCCUGGGUUCCACCCCCAGCACCUCCA
This is a transfer RNA of Camelus ferus (Wild Bactrian camel), 74 nucleotides long. It matches the Rfam family "tRNA". From Rfam's summary of the family: Transfer RNA (tRNA) molecules are approximately 80 nucleotides in length. The record is from Rfam. NCBI's taxonomy places the organism in Eukaryota, Metazoa, Chordata, Mammalia, Artiodactyla, Camelidae.